UACAGAGGCCUCGAGCGUUAGGCGGAAUCACUGGGCUUAAAGCGUGUGUAGGUGGAUGCCUAAGUACCUUGUGAAAUCCCACAGCUUAACUGUGGAAUUGCUUGGUAUACUGGGUGUCUUGAGCCACUCAGGGGCUACCGGAACAAGCGGUGGAGCGGUGAAAUGCGUAGAUAUCGCUUGGAACACCAAUGGUGAAAACAGGUAGCUGGGGGUGUGCUGACACUGAGACACGAAAGCCAGGGGAGCAAACGGG
This 253-nucleotide ribosomal RNA is filed under the name uncultured bacterium. RNAcentral describes it as "partial 16S ribosomal RNA". It matches the Rfam family "Bacterial small subunit ribosomal RNA", at positions 524 to 776 of the family's 1533-position model. The record is from RNAcentral.